This 511-nucleotide ribosomal RNA is filed under the name Aporia largeteaui. RNAcentral describes it as "partial 16S ribosomal RNA". The stretch from base 388 to 511 matches the Rfam family "Bacterial large subunit ribosomal RNA", at positions 2473 to 2597 of the family's 2925-position model. Lineage: Eukaryota; Metazoa; Arthropoda; Insecta; Lepidoptera; Pieridae. The record is from RNAcentral.
GUCUUUUUGAAAUUAAUUUAAAGUCUAAUCUGCCCACUGAAAAUUUUAAAGGGCUGCAGUAUAUUGACUGUACAAAGGUAGCAUAAUAAUUAGUCUUUUAAUUGAAGACUUGUAUGAAUGAUUUGAUGAGAUAUAUACUGUUUCUUUAUUAAUAUUAAAAUUUAAUUUUUUAGUAAAAAAGCUAAAAUUUUUUUAAAAGACGAGAAGACCCUAUAGAGUUUAAUUUUUUAUAUUUUAUAAAUUUUUUAUAAAGUUUAUAAUUCUAUAAAAUAUAAAAAAUUUUGUUGGGGUGAUAGAAAAAUUUAAUUAACUUUUUUUAAAAAAUAUGACAUUAAUUUAUGAAUUUAUGAUCCAUAAUUUAUGAUUAUAAGAUUAAAUUACCUUAGGGAUAACAGCGUAAUUUUUUUUUUUAGUUCAAAUAAAAAUUAAAGUUUGCGACCUCGAUGUUGGAUUAAGGUAAAAUUUAAAUGCAAAAGUUUAAAAUUUUGAUCUGUUCGAUCAUUAAAACCUU